GGGUUGUGAGGUUAAGCGACUAAGCGUACACGGUGGAUGCCCUGGCAGUCAGAGGCGAUGAAGGACGUGCUAAUCUGCGAUAAGCGUCGGUAAGGUGAUAUGAACCGUUAUAACCGGCGAUUUCCGAAUGGGGAAACCCAGUGUGUUUCGACACACUAUCAUUAACUGAAUCCAUAGGUUAAUGAGGCGAACCGGGGGAACUGAAACAUCUAAGUACCCCGAGGAAAAGAAAUCAACCGAGAUUCCCCCAGUAGCGGCGAGCGAACGGGGAGCAGCCCAGAGCCUGAAUCAGUGUGUGUGUUAGUGGAAGCGUCUGGAAAGGCGCGCGAUACAGGGUGACAGCCCCGUACACAAAAAUGCACAUGCUGUGAGCUCGAUGAGUAGGGCGGGACACGUGGUAUCCUGUCUGAAUAUGGGGGGACCAUCCUCCAAGGCUAAAUACUCCUGACUGACCGAUAGUGAACCAGUACCGUGAGGGAAAGGCGAAAAGAACCCCGGCGAGGGGAGUGAAAAAGAACCUGAAACCGUGUACGUACAAGCAGUGGGAGCACGCUUAGGCGUGUGACUGCGUACCUUUUGUAUAAUGGGUCAGCGACUUAUAUUCUGUAGCAAGGUUAACCGAAUAGGGGAGCCGAAGGGAAACCGAGUCUUAACUGGGCGUUAAGUUGCAGGGUAUAGACCCGAAACCCGGUGAUCUAGCCAUGGGCAGGUUGAAGGUUGGGUAACACUAACUGGAGGACCGAACCGACUAAUGUUGAAAAAUUAGCGGAUGACUUGUGGCUGGGGGUGAAAGGCCAAUCAAACCGGGAGAUAGCUGGUUCUCCCCGAAAGCUAUUUAGGUAGCGCCUCGUGAAUUCAUCUCCGGGGGUAGAGCACUGUUUCGGCAAGGGGGUCAUCCCGACUUACCAACCCGAUGCAAACUGCGAAUACCGGAGAAUGUUAUCACGGGAGACACACGGCGGGUGCUAACGUCCGUCGUGAAGAGGGAAACAACCCAGACCGCCAGCUAAGGUCCCAAAGUCAUGGUUAAGUGGGAAACGAUGUGGGAAGGCCCAGACAGCCAGGAUGUUGGCUUAGAAGCAGCCAUCAUUUAAAGAAAGCGUAAUAGCUCACUGGUCGAGUCGGCCUGCGCGGAAGAUGUAACGGGGCUAAACCAUGCACCGAAGCUGCGGCAGCGACGCUUAUGCGUUGUUGGGUAGGGGAGCGUUCUGUAAGCCUGUGAAGGUGUACUGUGAGGUAUGCUGGAGGUAUCAGAAGUGCGAAUGCUGACAUAAGUAACGAUAAAGCGGGUGAAAAGCCCGCUCGCCGGAAGACCAAGGGUUCCUGUCCAACGUUAAUCGGGGCAGGGUGAGUCGACCCCUAAGGCGAGGCCGAAAGGCGUAGUCGAUGGGAAACAGGUUAAUAUUCCUGUACUUGGUGUUACUGCGAAGGGGGGACGGAGAAGGCUAUGUUGGCCGGGCGACGGUUGUCCCGGUUUAAGCGUGUAGGCUGGUUUUCCAGGCAAAUCCGGAAAAUCAAGGCUGAGGCGUGAUGACGAGGCACUACGGUGCUGAAGCAACAAAUGCCCUGCUUCCAGGAAAAGCCUCUAAGCAUCAGGUAACAUCAAAUCGUACCCCAAACCGACACAGGUGGUCAGGUAGAGAAUACCAAGGCGCUUGAGAGAACUCGGGUGAAGGAACUAGGCAAAAUGGUGCCGUAACUUCGGGAGAAGGCACGCUGAUAUGUAGGUGAAGCGACUUGCUCGUGGAGCUGAAAUCAGUCGAAGAUACCAGCUGGCUGCAACUGUUUAUUAAAAACACAGCACUGUGCAAACACGAAAGUGGACGUAUACGGUGUGACGCCUGCCCGGUGCCGGAAGGUUAAUUGAUGGGGUUAGCGCAAGCGAAGCUCUUGAUCGAAGCCCCGGUAAACGGCGGCCGUAACUAUAACGGUCCUAAGGUAGCGAAAUUCCUUGUCGGGUAAGUUCCGACCUGCACGAAUGGCGUAAUGAUGGCCAGGCUGUCUCCACCCGAGACUCAGUGAAAUUGAACUCGCUGUGAAGAUGCAGUGUACCCGCGGCAAGACGGAAAGACCCCGUGAACCUUUACUAUAGCUUGACACUGAACAUUGAGCCUUGAUGUGUAGGAUAGGUGGGAGGCUUUGAAGUGUGGACGCCAGUCUGCAUGGAGCCGACCUUGAAAUACCACCCUUUAAUGUUUGAUGUUCUAACGUGGACCCGUGAUCCGGGUUGCGGACAGUGUCUGGUGGGUAGUUUGACUGGGGCGGUCUCCUCCUAAAGAGUAACGGAGGAGCACGAAGGUUGGCUAAUCCUGGUCGGACAUCAGGAGGUUAGUGCAAUGGCAUAAGCCAGCUUGACUGCGAGCGUGACGGCGCGAGCAGGUGCGAAAGCAGGUCAUAGUGAUCCGGUGGUUCUGAAUGGAAGGGCCAUCGCUCAACGGAUAAAAGGUACUCCGGGGAUAACAGGCUGAUACCGCCCAAGAGUUCAUAUCGACGGCGGUGUUUGGCACCUCGAUGUCGGCUCAUCACAUCCUGGGGCUGAAGUAGGUCCCAAGGGUAUGGCUGUUCGCCAUUUAAAGUGGUACGCGAGCUGGGUUUAGAACGUCGUGAGACAGUUCGGUCCCUAUCUGCCGUGGGCGCUGGAGAACUGAGGGGGGCUGCUCCUAGUACGAGAGGACCGGAGUGGACGCAUCACUGGUGUUCGGGUUGUCAUGCCAAUGGCACUGCCCGGUAGCUAAAUGCGGAAGAGAUAAGUGCUGAAAGCAUCUAAGCACGAAACUUGCCCCGAGAUGAGUUCUCCCUGACCCUUUAAGGGUCCUGAAGGAACGUUGAAGACGACGACGUUGAUAGGCCGGGUGUGUAAGCGCAGCGAUGCGUUGAGCUAACCGGUACUAAUGAACCGUGAGGCUUAACCUUACAACGCCGAAG
RNAcentral lists this ribosomal RNA (2925 nucleotides) under Escherichia coli. Its description in RNAcentral is "23S ribosomal RNA". It matches the Rfam family "Bacterial large subunit ribosomal RNA". Lineage: Bacteria; Pseudomonadati; Pseudomonadota; Gammaproteobacteria; Enterobacterales; Enterobacteriaceae. The record is from RNAcentral.